UAUAAAUCGAGAGUUUGAUCCUGGCUCAGGACGAACGCUGGCGGCGUGCCUAAUACAUGCAAGUCGAACGAAGCUUUUAAUCAAUAAAUGCUUGCAUUUAGCGAUUAAAAGACUGAGUGGCGAACGGGUGAGUAACACGUAGGCAACCUGCCCAAAAGAGGGGGAUAACACUUGGAAACAGGUGCUAAUACCGCAUAACCAUGAAAACCGCAUGGUUUUUAUGUAAAAGAUGGUUUCGGCUAUCACUUUUGGAUGGGCCUGCGGCGUAUUAGCUUGUUGGUGGGGUAAUGGCCUACCAAGGCAAUGAUACGUAGCCG
Molecule: ribosomal RNA, 317 nt
Filed under: Ligilactobacillus ruminis
Lineage: Bacteria; Bacillati; Bacillota; Bacilli; Lactobacillales; Lactobacillaceae
Description: bacterial SSU rRNA
Rfam family: Bacterial small subunit ribosomal RNA
Source: RNAcentral